This is a long non-coding RNA of Amblyraja radiata (thorny skate), 1026 nucleotides long. RefSeq lists it as uncharacterized. Lineage: Eukaryota; Metazoa; Chordata; Chondrichthyes; Rajiformes; Rajidae. The transcript is spliced from 2 exons. The record is from RefSeq and is a predicted model, not a curated record.
UGUAGUCGGCGGGAAAGGAAAGGAAAGGCUCAUCCAAUCAAUCUUUACAAGCAAAGAUACUAGAUUCUAUGAUCUUUGGUUAGAAGACAACAAACUUGAGUUGGCAACAGUAAUGCAGCGUUCCAAUUCUCUGCACGGGGAAAUGUAAACAUUUUUGAUGAUUACAACGUUAUCUGCAAUGGCACAGAAAGCGCCAAUUUGUCCCUUGGAUUUAUGAGGCUUGCAAGGGAACAAUUCCAUAAGUUCCAUGCCUUCCCUUAUUUGUACUGGUAUAUUAUUGUCACAUGUACCAGGGUACUUGGAAAAGCUAAGCGUGCUUGAUUAUUUUUUUGCCAUUAACCUACACCACUACAUAAAUUAGUGUAGCCAAUUCUGAGCAUGUCUUUGGCAUAUGGGAGGGAACUGGAAACCUACACAAUCACAGAAAGUGCAGAUUAAUUCGUGACAGCAGUUGGAAUUGAACCUGUGUUCCUGCAGGUCUGAGGCUACAACACUCAAAGACACACCACUAUAGGGAGGUUUCACGACCCAUGACCCGUACUGUUGCUACGCUACUCCAAAUGGAUUACACGCGAUGUACUGCAGAUUUUCUCACCCAUCCCUUGCAAACUGUGUGAAGGAGUGGGAGGCUUCGCAUUUAAUUAACAGGAUGACAGCUGGCAUCAUGAUGUUCCUGUCAUGGCCCACAUCUAUCUUUAUAGCAGCUGUCAAGGUGGUCAGACCUAUAGAACAAGUGUUUUAUGGGCUCUCACAAUCCAUGUAAUAAAGCAAGCAACUCGUGCCAACUGGCUGUGAUUAUCCUGUUGAAUGCCAACUCAGAAUUGAGAGCCAGAACUCAGAGCUUCCUCUCGUGGGAACGUCUGGUAUCAGGCUUGACCUUUUGACUUAGAGUCUGAAAUGAUUGGAUGGAUUUUCUACCUUCCCUUAUUACUGGGCAUAUACAGUACAUCCAAAUUAUUGUAGAAUUCAAAUUCUUCAUGGAAAAAAUGACAUUUGAAUAAUCGGAAUAAAUCAUAUUUUCCCUUA